RNAcentral lists this ribosomal RNA (433 nucleotides) under uncultured bacterium. RNAcentral describes it as "partial 16S ribosomal RNA". It matches the Rfam family "Bacterial small subunit ribosomal RNA", at positions 29 to 507 of the family's 1533-position model. The record is from RNAcentral.
AACGAACGCUGGCGGCAGGCUUAACACAUGCAAGUCGAGCGAGACCUUCGGGUCUAGCGGCGGACGGGUGAGUAACGCGUGGGAACGUGCCCUUCUCUACGGAAUAGCCCCGGGAAACUGGGAGUAAUACCGUAUACGCCCUUUGGGGGAAAGAUUUAUCGGAGAAGGAUCGGCCCGCGUUGGAUUAGGUAGUUGGUGGAGUAAUGGCCCACCAAGCCGACGAUCCAUAGCUGGUUUGAGAGGAUGAUCAGCCACACUGGGACUGAGACACGGCCCAGACUCCUACGGGAGGCAGCAGUGGGGAAUCUUAGACAAUGGGGGCAACCCUGAUCUAGCCAUGCCGCGUGAGUGAUGAAGGCCUUAGGGUUGUAAAGCUCUUUCAGCUGGGAAGAUAAUGACGGUACCAGCAGAAGAAGCCCCGGCUAACUCCGUG